GACAGAGGGUGCAAACGUUGUUCGGAAUUACUGGGCGUAAAGCGUGUGUAGGCGGCCAUAUAAGUCGGAUGUGAAAGCCCAGGGCUCAACCCUGGAAGUGCACUCGAUACUGUAUGGCUCGAGUACUGGAGAGGUUGGUGGAAUUCUCGGUGUAGAGGUGAAAUUCGUAGAUAUCGGGAGGAACACCGGUGGCGAAGGCGGCGACCUGGGUCGACACUGACGCUGAGGCGCGAAAGCGUGGGGAGCAAACAGG
Molecule: ribosomal RNA, 253 nt
Filed under: uncultured bacterium
Lineage: Bacteria
Description: partial 16S ribosomal RNA
Rfam family: Bacterial small subunit ribosomal RNA
Source: RNAcentral